GCUUCUUAUAAAUAACUGCAUGGCUACAGUGAAGCGUGUGGUGUUUCUCUCACAGUCGACUGUAGACAACGAAGAUGAAGUGACUUACAGCACUUUGGUUCACAAGAAACCGGCAGCAACAAGCAAAGUACAUAAGCCCGCUGUGGACCCCAGUACUGAAGUUCUAUACAGCAGCGUAGCUCGACAGGACACCCAGAGCUCCGCAUCCAGAGCUGAUGAGGUCGUCUACAGUUCUGUCAUAACGAAGAAGAAAAAGAACUCCAAGGACCCUGGAGAUGGACAGAUGCUGGAUGGAAAUCAAUUCUCCUAUUUUGUUGGUUAAUCUUAUACAGUAUUUCAACAGCUCCUUUGGAAUUUUAUGCUAAAGAAGUCAUGGCUGUCAAGUGACCAGUACAAUAAACAGUCCCUUCCACAACGGAGGCUCCA
Molecule: long non-coding RNA, 426 nt
Filed under: Scleropages formosus (Asian bonytongue)
Lineage: Eukaryota; Metazoa; Chordata; Actinopteri; Osteoglossiformes; Osteoglossidae
Description: lncRNA (ENSSFOG00015029503.1)
Source: RNAcentral